Molecule: transfer RNA, 86 nt
Filed under: bacterium
Lineage: Bacteria
Also listed under: 2 other names
Description: tRNA-Tyr
Rfam family: tRNA
About the family: Transfer RNA (tRNA) molecules are approximately 80 nucleotides in length.
Source: RNAcentral
GGGGGGAUACCAAAGCGGCCAACUGGGACGGACUGUAACUCCGUUGACUUAUGUCUUCGCAGGUUCGAAUCCUGCUCCCCCCACCA